Molecule: non-coding RNA, 29 nt
Filed under: Mus musculus (house mouse)
Lineage: Eukaryota; Metazoa; Chordata; Mammalia; Rodentia; Muridae
Source: RNAcentral
UGGUUUCCCAGCUGAUUGCUAACUUGUUC